GCGGCAUCACUUGCAACUUAAUGAAUUCGUAUUUCUAAUCGAAUACAACAAAGUAAGUGUUGCCAAGAGUAAUACACCUCUACGGAUUAGACCUUCAGACAUAGUUGAGGCGACAUAACCCACGCCACGAUUGUAUCACUCAAAGUCUUACAAUU
RNAcentral lists this small nucleolar RNA (155 nucleotides) under Drosophila erecta. RNAcentral describes it as "snoRNA:GG25952". Lineage: Eukaryota; Metazoa; Arthropoda; Insecta; Diptera; Drosophilidae. The record is from RNAcentral.